This 582-nucleotide ribosomal RNA is filed under the name uncultured bacterium. RNAcentral's name for it is "partial 16S ribosomal RNA". It matches the Rfam family "Bacterial small subunit ribosomal RNA", at positions 355 to 935 of the family's 1533-position model. The record is from RNAcentral.
UGGGGAAUUUUGGACAAUGGGCGAAAGCCUGAUCCAGCAAUGCCGCGUGUGUGAAGAAGGCCUUCGGGUUGUAAAGCACUUUUGUCCGGAAAGAAAUCCUCUGGGUUAAUACCUCGGGGGGAUGACGGUACCGGAAGAAUAAGCACCGGCUAACUACGUGCCAGCAGCCGCGGUAAUACGUAGGGUGCAAGCGUUAAUCGGAAUUACUGGGCGUAAAGCGUGCGCAGGCGGUUUUGUAAGACGGAUGUGAAAUCCCCGGGCUUAACCUGGGAACUGCAUUCGUGACUGCAAGGCUAGAGUAUGGCAGAGGGGGGUAGAAUUCCACGUGUAGCAGUGAAAUGCGUAGAGAUGUGGAGGAAUACCGAUGGCGAAGGCAGCCCCCUGGGCCAAUACUGACGCUCAUGCACGAAAGCGUGGGGAGCAAACAGGAUUAGAUACCCUGGUAGUCCACGCCCUAAACGAUGUCAACUAGUUGUUGGGGAUUCAUUUCCUUAGUAACGUAGCUAACGCGUGAAGUUGACCGCCUGGGGAGUACGGUCGCAAGAUUAAAACUCAAAUGAAUUGACGGGGUCAUAGCUGUUU